AAACUAGGAUUAGAUACCCUAUUAUUUUAAGUUUAUUUUUAAAGUAGUAAAUUAUGUUUUUUAAACUUAAUUUUUCUGGCGGUUCACUACUCUAACAGAGGAGCUUGUCAAUUUAGAUUGAUAACCCGCUUUUAUUUUCACCAUUGUUUAUCUUAUGUACGGCUGUUAAGCUUUAAUUUUUAGCUUAUUGUUUUAACUUUUAAAAGCUUAGUUCAGGUCAAUGUGUAGACUAUGCUGUGGAUUUUGAUGAGCUACUUUUAUUAGUUUUAGUUUUUGUCUUCUUUUUAAAUUGGAUUUGUUAGUAAAGCUGAAAUAAAACUUUAGCUUGGUGUAGACUUUUGGUGGAAGUACAUAUCGCCCGUCACUCUUUUGAUAGAUAAGUCGUAACAUAGUAA
RNAcentral lists this ribosomal RNA (395 nucleotides) under Cheyletus malaccensis. RNAcentral describes it as "partial 12S ribosomal RNA". The record is from RNAcentral. Lineage: Eukaryota; Metazoa; Arthropoda; Arachnida; Trombidiformes; Cheyletidae.